GAGCGGAACGGCCUUCGUGGUACCGAGCGGCGAACGGGUGAGUACACGUGAGCAAUCUGCCCUUAGCUUCGGGAUAGCUCCGGGAAACCGGAAUUAAUACCGGAUAUGACCACUGUCGACAUCAUCCAUGGUGGAAAGUUUUUCGGCUAGGGAUGAGCUCGCGGCCUAUCAGCUAGUUGGUGGGGUAACGGCCUACCAAGGCGACGACGGGUAGCCGGCCUGAGAGGGCGACCGGCCUCUCUGGGACUGAGACACGGCCCAUACUCCUACGGGAGGCAUCAGUGGGGAAUAUUGCGCAAUGGGCGAAAGCCUGACGCAGCGACGCCGCGUGGGGGAUGAAGGCCUUCGGGUUGUAAACCCCUUUCAGCAUGGACGAUUCGAAUGUGACGGUACCUGCAUAAGACUCGCCGGCUAACUACGUGCCAGCAGCCGCGGUAA
Molecule: ribosomal RNA, 438 nt
Filed under: uncultured bacterium
Lineage: Bacteria
Description: bacterial SSU rRNA
Rfam family: Bacterial small subunit ribosomal RNA
Source: RNAcentral